This 460-nucleotide ribosomal RNA is filed under the name uncultured bacterium. RNAcentral describes it as "partial 16S ribosomal RNA". It matches the Rfam family "Bacterial small subunit ribosomal RNA", at positions 338 to 795 of the family's 1533-position model. The record is from RNAcentral.
CCUACGGGAGGCAGCAGUGAGGAAUAUUGGUCAAUGGACGAGAGUCUGAACCAGCCAAGUAGCGUGAAGGAUGACUGCCCUAUGGGUUGUAAACUUCUUUUAUAUGGGAAUAAAAUGUUCCACGUGUGGGAUUUUGUAGGUACCAUAUGAAUAAGGAUCGGCUAACUCCGUGCCAGCAGCCGCGGUAAUACGGAGGAUCCGAGCGUUAUCCGGAUUUAUUGGGUUUAAAGGGAGCGUAGGUGGAUUGUUAAGUCAGUUGUCAAAGUUUGCGGCUCAACCGUAAAAUUGCAGUUGAAACUGGCAGUCUUGAGUACAGUAGAGGUAGGCGGAAUGCGUAGUGUAGCGGUGAAAUGCUUAGAUAUCGCGAAGAACUCCGAUUGCGAAGGCAGUUCACUGGACUGCAACUGACACUGAGGCACGAAAGUGUGGGUAUCAAACAGGAUUAGAGACCCGAGUAGUC